RNAcentral lists this ribosomal RNA (252 nucleotides) under uncultured bacterium. RNAcentral describes it as "partial 16S ribosomal RNA". It matches the Rfam family "Bacterial small subunit ribosomal RNA", at positions 524 to 776 of the family's 1533-position model. The record is from RNAcentral.
UACGGAGGAUGCGAGCGUUAUCCGGAUUUAUUGGGUUUAAAGGGUGCGUAGGCGGGCUUUUAAGUCAGCGGUAAAAAUUCGGGGCUCAACCCCGUCCGGCCGUUGAAACUGGGGGUCUUGAGUGGGCGAGAAGAAGGCGGAAUGCGUGGUGUAGCGGUGAAAUGCAUAGAUAUCACGCAGAACCCCGAUUGCGAAGGCAGCAUGCCGGCUUCCUACUGACGCUGAAGCACGAAAGCGUGGGGAUCGAACAGG